CAGCCUUCAAAAAUUCGCAGCCUUCUUCAAUUCUUCUGCAACCCCGACCCUUUCCCAAACUCAACCCCGACCUGCAGCCUUCGUUUCAGAAACCCAGCAUCCUAGUAGCUCGAACCCAGCAAUCGAUUCCUAGAGUUUCCCUUAGCCCUCAAGCACAAAGUCCUAGCAUUCGCGAUUUAGAAUACCGAUUUCCCGAUUUCCAGAAACCCAGUAAUCGGUAGCAUCUGCAGCCUUCGAGUUCUUCGAUUCCUGGCCUUCUUCAAUUACUAACUCGAUUCCUUAGCCCUCAAUCGAUUCAUAGCUUUCCCGAUUUCCAGAAACCCAGCAAUCCCUAGCCCUCAAUCCAUUCAUAGCUUACCCGAUUUCGAAUUCGAACAAGUACCUAGCUUUCCCAAUUUCCCGAUUUCCAGAAACCCAGCAAUCCCUAGCCUUCAAUACCUUCUGGCCUUAUUCGAUUACUAACUCAGUCUACAACUUCUCUGGUUGUUGGCAACCUCUGCUAUUAAAGGUUGAUGUUAAAGGUUUAGAUGAGAUUGGGGUGGAGGUCAUAACUCGUUGAGCAAGGAUCGUAUCAUUGCUCGUCUCCAACAACCAUAUUCACUCGAUUGUAUUCCAGUGGAAGCAGAGUAUCAGGAUUCGAUUUUGAUAAUGCCCGAAGCAGCUGCAGUUAUUGGGGACGAGUUGGUUGUAUUUAAAGUUUUAAACGUUGAAAUUUCAUUUGUUUGUAAAAUGAUGAGAAUAAGAAACAACUUUUAGAAGAACUCAUAAAUCCAAGUUCUACAUUACUUUGGGAACUACAAGUGAAAACCAAUAAUCAGAGGCGUCCACGUAAAGAAGAUACUUCGACUCGUCAGUUGCUUUCUGCCUAUGAGUAUAUAUGAAUGCAUCAUUCGGCCAUGAGAGUCAUUCAUUGGCUCCUACACUUGUUUCUGAGCCUCUUAGAAAGAAAUUGAAGAACCUUUCAAAGAAUCAAUAAGAAGCAGAGACCAAAAGGUCACAAGUACGCAUGAAAAGGAAAAGUAAAGAGUUAAAAAUUCAACUGCAUUCUGUAUGUGGUUUAUUGCACGUUGCUUACUAAACUAGUUAUUUUUAUUAUUCAAGUGCCUAAACAACAUUUGCUCGGUGAUAACACAUAGAUUGAGUAUGAAUAUACAACACUGUUUAUUUUUA
Molecule: long non-coding RNA, 1170 nt
Organism: Rosa rugosa (rugosa rose)
Lineage: Eukaryota; Viridiplantae; Streptophyta; Magnoliopsida; Rosales; Rosaceae
Exons: 3
Source: RefSeq, a predicted model, not a curated record